GCUGUGAGGUUCAGCAAGCGUUUUGUGCAGGUAAUUGAGUUGAGAGUCCUCUCACAUCCAUCCAAAGAGGUGGGACCCUAGGGAGUCAUCCAACCCCUCAGCCAGGACGAGGGCGGGUGGCGUGUGGCGGGGAGGGAGGCAGUGCUCGAGCGCGUGGAGAGGAGGCCACUCUGCGGGGUCAUCCGCGGCUGAUUACUGCCGAGACGUGAGCGUCAGGAGCUAAUGACAGGCACCCGGGGAGGGUGCCAGAUGGUCCUGUCGUCCCUGACGCCACAGGGGCUCCCUGGCAACGGCUGCCGUGGAAACGUUUCAGCACACUUCAGUGGCACUUCCCUUUCACCUCUGUGGAGUGACAGAGGCAGCUAGAGGCAGGGGAGGCAGGGGAGGCACGCCCAGUGAUGGGGAGUGACAGAGGCGGCUGGAGGGGUGAGGAUGUCCCUCAUAGGCACCACUACUUCUUGUUCAUGUCAUUUUGGAGAUGUGUGACACCCACACCCUCUGUAAGGGGGGACCUAUCAGAUCACAAAAGAAGCCCUGUGCUCUACUGGGGAGGUCUGGGGAGGGAGAUAGGACACGAGGAGGUGUUUGUGUGUAUGUGUGUUUGUGUGUGUGUGUGUGUGUGUGUGUGUGGGUGUAUGUGUGUGUGUGUCUGUGUGUGUGUUUGUGUGUGUGAGUGCGUGUGUGUGUGGAGCACUAUGUCUCCGAGCUCCCCUGAGCACAGUGGAGAGUGAUGCAUUAUGGGUCUGGUAAUGAACUGCUAACAAUAAUGAGGGUGAUUAUUGCUGCCAUUAUCCAUGCUCUUUAUUCUGUACGCAAUGUCAAAUAAAAAUGGUGCCUUGAUGGCCGGAUGAAAAUGUUUCAUUUCAGAGGAAAACAAAGUUUUUUGAUGGCUCUCUAAAGGCUUCUGGCCUCUAUUGACAUUGUGUGCAGUUAUUUCAUGCUGUGAGUGAAAUGAAAACACACACACACAUACACACACA
Molecule: long non-coding RNA, 980 nt
Organism: Clupea harengus (Atlantic herring)
Lineage: Eukaryota; Metazoa; Chordata; Actinopteri; Clupeiformes; Clupeidae
Source: Ensembl